This 586-nucleotide ribosomal RNA is filed under the name uncultured bacterium. Its description in RNAcentral is "partial 16S ribosomal RNA". It matches the Rfam family "Bacterial small subunit ribosomal RNA", at positions 355 to 1376 of the family's 1533-position model. The record is from RNAcentral.
UGGGGAAUCUUCCGCAAUGGACGAAAGUCUGACGGAGCAACGCCGCGUGAGUGAAGAAGGUUUUCGGAUCGUAAAACUCUGUCUUUUGGGGCGAACGUGAGUAUGGUGAACAAUCAUAGUCAGUGACGGUACCAAAGGAGGAAGCCACGGCUAACUACGUGCCAGCAGCCGCGGUAAUACGUAGGUGGCAAGCGUUGUCCGGAAUUAUUGGGCGUAAAGAGCGCGUAGGCGGGAUAGUCAGUCUGUUGUAAAGUGCGGGGCUCAACCCCGUGAUCGCAAUGGAAACAGCUAUUCUUGAGUGCAGGAGAGGAAAGUGGAAUUCCCAGUGUAGCGGUGAAAUGCGUAGAUAUUGGGAGGAACACCAGUGGCGAAGGCGACUUUCUGGACUGUGUCUGACGCUGAGGCGCGAAAGCCAGGGGAGCGAACGGGAUUAGAUACCCCGGUAGUCCUGGCCGUAAACGAUGGGUACUAGGUGUGGGAGGUAUCGACCCCUUCCGUGCCGGAGUUAACGCAAUAAGUACCCCGCCUGGGGAGUACGGUCGCAGACUGAAACUUAAUGAAUUGACGGGGUCAUAGCUGUUUCCUG